UUACAUAUGUGAUCCUUCCUAUUUAGAAAAUUAAUGGUGUUUUCUGGCUCCAAAUCACAGCUUGUGGUGCUCUGCAGGCGAUGAAAAACUUGGCCAGCUUCAGCAGCAAGGCAGCCAUUAGAAAAUUAACCCUUGGUGACCAAGGAGCAAAGAAAAAUACAGCGGCUGGAAAUGAACAUAUUUUCCAUGAAGAAAGAGGAAUUAUGGAGAGUGGUGGAGACCUGGAGGGAAACUAGGAGAUGCAAAGGGGGCUGUGGCCAGAGCAGGGGAUGCUAGAGCGACAGAAUGCUGAAGAUAGUUGUCCC
Molecule: long non-coding RNA, 305 nt
Filed under: Homo sapiens (human)
Lineage: Eukaryota; Metazoa; Chordata; Mammalia; Primates; Hominidae
Description: HSALNT0032104
Source: RNAcentral